RNAcentral lists this non-coding RNA (24 nucleotides) under Arabidopsis thaliana (thale cress). Lineage: Eukaryota; Viridiplantae; Streptophyta; Magnoliopsida; Brassicales; Brassicaceae. The record is from RNAcentral.
UACUCCAAACACAAUGAUCACCAC